RNAcentral lists this ribosomal RNA (253 nucleotides) under uncultured bacterium. RNAcentral's name for it is "partial 16S ribosomal RNA". It matches the Rfam family "Bacterial small subunit ribosomal RNA", at positions 524 to 776 of the family's 1533-position model. The record is from RNAcentral.
UACGUAGGUGGCAAGCGUUAUCCGGAAUUACUGGGCGUAAAGCGCGCGUAGGCGGGUUUGUAAGUCUGAUGUGAAAGCCCCCGGCUCAACCGUGGAGUGUCAUUGGAAACUGGAGAACUUGAGUGCAGAAGAGGAAAGUGGAAUUCCAUGUGUAGCGGUGAAAUGCUCAGAGAUAUGGAGGAACACCAGUGGCGAAGGCGACUUUCUUGUCUGUAACUGACGCUGAUGCGCGAAAGCGUGGGGAUCAAACAGG